RNAcentral lists this ribosomal RNA (439 nucleotides) under uncultured bacterium. Its description in RNAcentral is "bacterial SSU rRNA". It matches the Rfam family "Bacterial small subunit ribosomal RNA", at positions 29 to 507 of the family's 1533-position model. The record is from RNAcentral.
AACGAACGCUGGCGGCAGGCUUAACACAUGCAAGUCGAACGCUCGUAGCAAUACGGGAGUGGCGGACGGGUGAGUAACGCGUGGGAACGUGCCCUGAGGUACGGAAUAACUGCGGGAAACUGCAGCUAAUACCGUAUGAGCCCCGUGAGGGGAAAGGAUUUAUCGCCUUAGGAGCGGCCCGCGUCGGAUUAGCUAGUUGGUGGGGUAACGGGCUUACCAAGGCUUCGAUCCGUAGCUGGUCUGAGAGGACGAUCAGCCACACUGGGACUGAGACACGGCCCAGACUCCUACGGGAGGCAGCAGUGGGGAAUCUUGCGCAAUGGGGGCGAACCCUGACGCAGCCAUGCCGCGUGAAUGAUGAAGGCCUUAGGGUUGUAAAGUUCUUUUGCCCGUGACGAUGAUGACGGUAACGGGAGAAUAAGCUCCGGCUAACUUCGUG